This is a non-coding RNA of Pelobates cultripes (western spadefoot toad), 181 nucleotides long. Lineage: Eukaryota; Metazoa; Chordata; Amphibia; Anura; Pelobatidae. The record is from the annotation of a GenBank genome assembly.
GACAUCGCUGAACACAAAUAUUAGUGUUUAAAAACUGGAAAACGUAUCACAACAAUUAUAUCAGUAAAAGUGCUGUUUGUGUGUGAGUGAAAAAUGCAAAAAAAGUAACUUUCACUGACAAUAUCAUCGCUGUGAUAUGUUUUACUGUUUUGAAUCACUAAUAUUUGUGUUCAGCGAAGUC